AGGACAUGGCCGCCGGGGAUGGACACGUGACGGUUAUCGUCAUCUCCCAGCAUGCACCGCUCUACCACGUCACACAGCGGAAGUACUGCAGCUGCAUGAGGAGGAAUAACAUGUAACCUCCAUGGCUCUCAUUGAAGGUGUGGAUGAUGAGGUCACGCUCCUCAUCGCUGUCAUUCUACUCUUGGCUGUCAUUGUCCUGGCAUGGGUGUCUACUCACACUUCUGAACGAUCUCACCCAGGUGAUGUACAGAACAGAGCGGACAGAGUGGUAUGUGAGCAGGGAGCGGAGAGAGAAGCUACAGGUAGUAGCUGCCACGCUCCCAGUCCCAACAGUGAUGCCACCUUAUGUACUAACCGGGUGUCUCCUGUAAGUGAGACACCGCUCCUGUCACCACCUGAAGACCCUCCUGUUACAGGGGAACCUGCUCUGUGCACCCCUAAUUCUACAUCACAUGAUAAUGAGCCACCCACUCUGAGGCACAGGGGACCCCAAACAGAGAGCCCUCCCAGCGAAGAUCAGGAAACAAUAACCCUUCGCUUGAAGUUCUUGAAUGACACAGAACGGGCGGUGACUGUCCGACUGUCUGACACUGUGCUAAACAUCAAGCGGAGCCAGUUUCCGGAACAGGAGUCGCGCGUCCGCCUCAUCUACCAAGGCCAGCUCCUGCGAGAUGACUCUCAAAGUGUGGCGUCUCUCCAGCUUACAGACGGCUGUGUGCUUCAUUGCCACAUCUCUCCCCAUGCAUCACCUUCAGGACGUAGUGGUGCCGAGCUGGACCAGGUCCCUCUAAACAUUGGUAGUCUGCUGGUGCCACUACUCGGACUGGUUCUAUUCAUCCUGUGGUACUGCCAGCUACAGUACCCCAAUUUGUUUACUGCUACAGCCACAGCGUGCCUGGGUCUCAUCACCCUGCUGGUGACGGUUAUGGCUCUUUCCUCGUACCGUAGGUAGUGCAUCAGACACACUAGGAAUGAGGCCUCCAUUAUUCCCUAUUCAUCAGAAGAAUGAGAGACAGUCCUGGGGAGCAGGGGAAGGUCAUAGACCAAGGACAAGCUCCUGUAACUCGCCCAACCCUGGAUUCUCCAGAAGAAUAAACUAUGUUCCAGCUCCUGUCUCCAGACUUCUGCUAUAGAGACCCGCACCAGCAUUCCAUCUGCGGUGUAGCCUGACUCUCCGAUCCAUUCUGGACUCACCUGUUUCCAGUUACAUCAAUCACCUGCUUCCAGCUCAGCUUCCAGCAGUGUACAGCUUCUCUUAAAGGGCCGGUGUCCUUUCUGCAGUUUACCACUCUCCACCGGUAUUAUUAUUUCACCGCUCUCAAACUCCAAACUUCAUCAAUCACCUGCUUCCAGCUAGGCUUCCAGCAGUGUACAGCUUCUCUUAAAGGGCCGGUGUCCUUUCUGCAGUUUACCACUCUCCACCGGUAUUAUUAUUUCACCGCUCUCAAACUCCAAACUUCAUUAUUAUUUC
Molecule: RNA transcript, 1471 nt
Organism: Pseudophryne corroboree (corroboree frog)
Lineage: Eukaryota; Metazoa; Chordata; Amphibia; Anura; Myobatrachidae
Gene name: transmembrane and ubiquitin-like domain-containing protein 1
Exons: 4
Source: RefSeq, a predicted model, not a curated record